AAGAAAUAUCCACCAAAAAUUAAGCUUCUAACUUAAAUUUUAGCAGUGAAAUUCUGUUAAUAUUUCU
RNAcentral lists this transfer RNA (67 nucleotides) under Micrambina sp. MIC01. Its description in RNAcentral is "tRNA-Ser". The record is from RNAcentral. Lineage: Eukaryota; Metazoa; Arthropoda; Insecta; Coleoptera; Cryptophagidae.